RNAcentral lists this unclassified non-coding RNA (328 nucleotides) under Nocardia globerula. RNAcentral's name for it is "16S-23S ribosomal RNA intergenic spacer region". Lineage: Bacteria; Bacillati; Actinomycetota; Actinomycetes; Mycobacteriales; Nocardiaceae. The record is from RNAcentral.
AAGGAGCAUCUCUUUCGCUCGCCGCACACAGGUGUGGUUGAGGAAAGCAGAGGCCAUUUCGUUCCCGUAUGUGGAACGGUGGAUGCUCAUGGGUGGACGCUGACAAGCAUUCGUUUUCAUUACUGCCGGCCUCAGUGCUGGUGGGAGAACAAAUUAUAUCGACAUACUGUUGGGUCCUGAGAGAACACGUGAGUGUUUCCUCUCUAGGAAGUAACGACAAUGUUUAGGCGCAGUCAUACCGCAUGGAUUCUUUCUUGUUGGUGUCUGCUUGAAGCCUGAGUGUUGUGUGUUGUUUGAGAACUGCACAGUGGACGCGAGCAUCUUUGUU